This 3922-nucleotide long non-coding RNA is filed under the name Sus scrofa (pig). Its description in RNAcentral is "lncRNA (ENSSSCG00005012932.1)". Lineage: Eukaryota; Metazoa; Chordata; Mammalia; Artiodactyla; Suidae. The record is from RNAcentral.
AUCAUUAAGAAAAAGGAACAUUUUGUCAGCAGUAAGUUUUAAGAAUUUGACAAUUAAUGAAAAUAUUGAAACUUGGAGGAAGACUCAGUUCUUUAUCCACUUAGAUUUUUUGUGGCUGUAAACUCUAAAAAUAGAUGAUUCUGAUACCAUAAAUAUAUUUUUCUAAAUAAUUGAAUAGGCAAAUCCAGAAUUUGGUAUUUCAAUUUAUUAUUAAGUAAUAUGAGACUAAGUUCUUUUUGCUUUCUGUACUAAUUUCUAUUUAUAGAAUAUUUAAACAUCAUUUAAUAGCCUUCUGAAAUGUGGAUUACCUCCCUAAUUGACACUUUCAAAAAUUUUGUUUUCUACUUUUUAAAUGUAUGUGAUUCAAAUAUAGUUUUCAGAUUUAAGUAAUUUUGUGACAUUUUAGGCAUUUUGGUGGCCUAUGUAGGCUUUGAAAUAAUGCUGUUAAGGAUGGAGCAAAGUCUGCUCCAUGCAUUGAAAAGCAAAAUCUCUGAACAUUUAGGGAAAUAAUAGUUUCAAAGCCCAUGCAUUUUUUUUUUUUUUUGUAAAAGAAGGCAUUAUAACCAUUUUUACUUUUUUUGAAAAAAAAUUUAAUACACUAUUUUGAGAGAAUGUUGAUGGUAAGUUGAUUAAAUAAACUUGGUCUUCCGCUUUUUCUGACAGCACUCAACUCUUCUUGCAUAGUACACUAGAAACACUGUACUCCCAGAAGCUGACACAGUAUAACAAUGACCCUGUACCCUUUGGUUACCUCUAGAGUAUGAUCUUUUGUAGAACUGUACAGUAAGUGAACUAGGUCAAUGAAGCCAUGCAAAAUUAUUUUCAAUAAAUUGCUUACUAUGACAGGGAUAGUUCUUUUGUUACCAUACAAACAUCAAGAAAUAAGUGUGUAGAAAUUUUUCAUCAAAAUUCAUCAAACUUGAAACAUUUGUUUGAGAUUGUCUAACAAAAUAUAAGCUGUGUGGUAUAAACAAAACUUGCUGUGGGAACUUAAGGAACUUAUCUCACAGAUCUUUUAAAUGACCAUACCAGAGAAGUUCUUACAACUCUUGAUCAGGAGAGACAGGCAUAUGUAGUAAGACAGUGUGCAAGAAGAAAACAGUGGUAAAUUCAAGUGCCCAAUCAAAAUGUCCCAAGGAUGGCCCUGCCAGGUUAUAGAACUUGAUUUGCUACCCAGCUUUUUCUCAUAAUAGCAUGCUCCAGAGUGAGUAGCAGUAAGGAUUUACUCACUUGAUGAUGGUUAAUGAUUCUCUGGGACAAGUUUGGGAAGACCAGCUAAUAUUUAAAAUAUUUUAGAAAGCUUGCCAAAAGUGAUUAGAGUCAAAAUAGUUUAGGCAGUUAUUAAGUGAAGCGUCACUAAAAACUGCAUUCAUCUGUAACAUCUUAUUUGUUUCUAGUAAGAGAUGAAUGAGAAAUUCUUUGUCAUAAAAUGUGAUAGGUCAUUCAGAAGGACUUAUUUAUUGCUAUUUUUAAGAAGUAUUUAUGGGUCCAGUUAUCAACUAAUUGCCAUGAAAAUUUUCCUUAAAUAUUUUAAAUGAUGAAUAAGAAGUACUGUGUUUUAAUUAUCUGGAAAUGUCUUCCUAACAUCUAGUUCCCUAAUGUUUCCAGAUGACUGAGAUGUUGUUAUGUCUUUUCAGCAUGAGGGAUCUGUGUGUCUGUUGUUAAAUUUGUUUUUUUUUGUUUGUUUUUUGUCUUUUGUCUUUUGUCACUUCAGGGCCGCUUAUGUGGCAUAUGGAGGUUCCCAGGCUAGGGGUCCAACCAGAGCUACAGCUGCCGGCCUACACCACAGCCACAGCAAUGCCAGAUCCGAGCCGCAUCUGCAACCUACACCACAGCUCAUGGCAACGCCUGAUCCUUAACCCACCGAGCGAGUUCAGGGAUCGAACCCGCAACCUCAUGGUUCCUAGUAGGAUUCGUUUUUUCACUGCACCACAAUAGGAACUCCAGUGUUAACUGUUUAUGAUAAAUGACCCUUAUAUUAUUUUGGAGGCAAGAGGUUGGAAGUCAGACUUAAGCUAUGAUUCCACUUAUGUGACCUCUCCAACGUUCUUUCCUCACUAGCAAAAUGGGAAUAAUUAUGCUUGCCACGUAGAUCUCUUAUGGGAAUCAAAUGAGUUAAUCCACUGAGCACAAUGCCUGGCACAUUGAAAUUUCUCAAUAAAUAAUCAAAACUAUUAGAAGAUUACAAAAAGAGAAUUUCUUAUAUACUGUGGUUGUUUUUUAGGAUCUGCUCCUUCGUGUUUUUACUUUUUUAGAGAUUAAAUCUAAUUAGUCUGUUCAAAAACUGGAAUGAAAGUAAAAUAUACAUAGACAAUGCAUAAAUUAUCCUCUGUUGCUUUUACCUCUUAUUGUAAACAAAAGUUCUCUAGACUUUCAUUAGGAAUGGAUCUUCAGUGAAGUAUAUCCAUAUGGCAAUUCUAAAAUGUAAAAAUGAGCUGCCUUUUUCGUAUUGAAUAAGCAUAAAAAUCAAAUUAUGUUGCUCAAAAAAGAAUACUCAUACAUCUUUUCCCAUCUUGCAUAACACAAAAAUAGCUAACUGCUUUUGCUCAUAAAAAUCAUAUUUGGAGGGUGACUAAGCACGAGACAGUUCCCAAACAAAUCUUUGAGAAAGUUAUGCAGGAAUGAAAGUGAGAUUUCAGUUGUAAUCAGUCUCCUCAUCUAGGUUAGUUCAGUGAAGGUAGACUGGUAAAUUUUUUAAAUCAUCAAUUAGUCUUACAUCAUUUUUCAACAUAUUUUGGAUAUCACUGAAAUAUUAAAAUCUAAUGUCAUUUCUUUUUAACUGGAAUGUGGUUUUGUGGGCUAUAGCUACUAUGUACUUCUUUCUUUUACAGGCACAUGCAUACAUUUACAUAAGUAUUUGUUCAUUUACAUAAAAUGCAUGAAGUAGUGAAGACUUAUCUGAAGGAUGACUUAGUAAUGUAGCAUGUCUUAUGUAUUCAUGUACUAUCCUUGCUACAUAAAAAUAAUUAGAUGGUCCAUGAUUAACAACAAUUUUUUAAUUGGAAAGUGGGGAUAUUGAUGGCACUAUACCAAAAUGUUAAUUAAAAAAAAAUUUGCAGUCUCAGAAUACAUAAUUUGGAGGGAUUAUGCAAUCACAUAUAAAGGAAAUUUAAAAGUUUUACCUCUGCUAUUCCUGAGGUCCAAGAGUAGUUUCAUUUAUUUCUUCAUCUUUUAAAGGAUCAUACAUACCAUAUUUUUAGAAAAAUCUUUCCGUAAGUUUUCCUUGGGGUAACUAAAUGUUGUUUAGGGUAGAGUAAUUAAAUGAAAUUUAGUUUCUUGUUUCAUAUUUCAAGCGAUUUGUUUUUGCAGUUUACCUUAUAAACCUUUUAUUUACAGUUUAUACUAUUCCAAGUAAGUUAUUCUGAGUAAAAUAUUGAGGUAUGAAUUUGCCCUUGUUUAUCCUCAGUUUUUAAUUUUUGUUUGGAUAAGCUUUCCUUACUGUGACAUUUCUGCCUUUACUUUGUUUUAUUCUUUGUUUUUCUUUUCAUUUUGGUUGUCAAAUAUAGAAAAUAAUAUGUUUAAGUAAAACCAUGAUAUUUCCAGAAAAAAAAAGGCAAGUUAAACAUACUAUUUUUAACUUAUUUUGAAAAGAAAAAUAAUUGUCCCAAAAUUCACAUUGAAUUAAGAAAAUGUAUUUGUUGAGCAAGGGUAAUGAGAGGGGAGGUAUCCAAAUUGCCAUGAAUGUCUAAAGAAAAUAUUUCUCAGAGUUCCGGUCAUGGCUCAGUCGUUAACGAAUCCCUCUAGGAACCAUGAGGUUGCUGGUUCGAUCCCUGGCCUUGCUCAGUGGGUUAAGGAUCCCGCUUUGCCGUGAGCCGUGGUGUAGGUUGCAGAUGCGGCUGGGAUCCCGCAUUGCUGUGGCUCUGGCAUAGGCCGGCAGCUACAGCUCUGAUUCGACCCCUAGCCUGGGAACCUCCAUAUGCCG